RNAcentral lists this long non-coding RNA (729 nucleotides) under Trifolium pratense (red clover). RNAcentral's name for it is "long non-coding RNA (TPRA_LNC002473)". The record is from RNAcentral. Lineage: Eukaryota; Viridiplantae; Streptophyta; Magnoliopsida; Fabales; Fabaceae.
GUGAAUACCCUGUCAAAUUGAGUGAAAUGGUGAGUGAGAGAUAAGGUUGAACUUUGGACAUCGUGUGGAACAGUCAUUGGACUUAAUCUAAUUGAAGUCUUAGAAGCCAGAGUGUUGAUUGAGCAGAAUCACUGAAGUUAAGACCGGUGGUUCUAUUGCCGGAUGAAGAGAAUAAGGUUUAUGAGAUUUUUAUCAUUCAAAUUAAUUUGUUAAUUCCCUGACAGUUUUGUUUUGACAGGCAUGUCACUUGAGGACAAGUAACGGUUCAAGUUUGGGGUUGUGAUGACAGUCACUUAUUUGUUAAUUUAAUUGCAAUUUUUUAAUAGUUUUAUAAGUUUUUAGGAAAAAUGCAUGGUCAAAGAGAAGAAUAUUUGAAGAAAUUAACAUAGCAGGAAGUUUGAAGACAAAAGACCACAAAAAGAAUGGACUUAGAAAAAUAUUGCCAAUUUUGAAGNNNNNNNNNNCGCAAUCAGUUUUUUUAUUUUAUUCCUUGAAUGAUGAUGUGGCGACAUGGUACAGGGCUAUUCCUUUUAUUGGUGUCACGUGAUUGCUCCUUCUAAGCAUAUAAAUAAUAAGCUAUUUUAACCUAAGGAGUGACACGCAAAAUACACAGACUUGGAGAGAGAGUUUCACGCCGUCACCGAGAGAAGCAGCAAUUGAACCAUUGGAAGCUUUAUUCUAAGGUGCUUUUCACAAUUAAAUUAUGUAUAAUUUUCAGAAUUUAAUNNN